This 468-nucleotide ribosomal RNA is filed under the name uncultured bacterium. Its description in RNAcentral is "partial 16S ribosomal RNA". It matches the Rfam family "Bacterial small subunit ribosomal RNA", at positions 28 to 507 of the family's 1533-position model. The record is from RNAcentral.
GACGAACGCUGGCGGCGUGCUUAACACAUGCAAGUCGAACGGAAAGGCCCUGCUUUUGUGGGGUGCUCGAGUGGCGAACGGGUGAGUAACACGUGAGUAACCUGCCCUUGACUUUGGGAUAACUUCAGGAAACUGGGGCUAAUACCGGCUAGGAGCUCCUGCUGCAUGGUGGGGGUUGGAAAGUUUCGGCGGUUGGGGAUGGACUCGCGGCUUAUCAGCUUGUUGGUGGGGUAGUGGCUUACCAAGGCUUUGACGGGUAGCCGGCCUGAGAGGGUGACCGGCCACAUUGGGACUGAGAGACGGCCCAGACUCCUACGGGAGGCAGCAGUGGGGAAUAUUGCACAAUGGGCGGAAGCCUGAUGCAGCAACGCCGCGUGCGGGAUGACGGCCUUCGGGUUGUAAACCGCUUUCGCCUGUGACGAAGCGUGAGUGACGGUAAUGGGUAAAGAAGCACCGGCUAACUACGUG